Molecule: long non-coding RNA, 1667 nt
Filed under: Mus musculus (house mouse)
Lineage: Eukaryota; Metazoa; Chordata; Mammalia; Rodentia; Muridae
Description: long non-coding RNA chr19:30060374-30062041
Source: RNAcentral
UUUUUUUGAGCAACAAAAGAUACCAGAAAGUUAGUGGAAGAUGUCUUUUACAAAUUCUCUUUACAACAUGUAAAGUAUGGUAUGUGCUGUAUAAAAUGGAUGAGUCCCUGCAACAAAAUCCUCGGUAACAAAAGGCUGUGGAAACAUAAGAUGAGUCAUGACAGCGUGGAGAGGGUAAUCAUUUUCCUUAAAGCUUUGCAGCAAUUAGAAGAAUGAAUUUUAAAGUAGAAUAACUACCUGUUGACUUUAAUAUAUCAUCAGAUAAGUCCAUCUUUGGUGGAGAAUGCGUUGAAAAGAAUUGCUCUAGUGGCAUAUGUAAACCGACUUACCCCCUCCGCACUUGUUUUCCCAUUUUGUCAGCCAGCCAUGGGAGCACAUGUGAAUAUCAGCACUCAGAAAGCAUGAGUGUAGGGUCACCCUGAGCCACAAAUCAAGUCCUUAUUUUAUUUUAUCUUAUCUGUUCUGUUUUGUUUUCUGAGCAGCAUUUCUCUGUAUAAUAGCCUUGGCUGUCCUGUAGACUAGCCUGACUUUGAAUUUACAGACAUCUGCCUGCUUCUGCCUCCAAGUGCUGAUACUAAAGCAUAUGCCACCACACCCAGCUUCAAAAUCCUGUUUCUAAAAUAAACAAAACAGACAGGAUCUUUCUUUGUUGCUCAGUUUAGCCCCAAAUUUCUGGUCUCAUACGGUCCUUUUUUUUCAGCCUCCAAAGUUUCUAGGGGUACUGACUCAUGCCACUGUACAAGCUGUAGUAAAUCAUUUUUUGCUGUAUUGCAAGACUCAAGGGAGGCAAUGGAAUGUGACGUGGCUGUCAAAUAGAGGAUGCUAUAAUUGUACUGUACUAUGUGGAAUAUUGUCUUCCACCACCACUGUCUUACAGCACCUAAGUGACCAGGUGCGUAGUCAAGAGUAGAACCUCAAAUGUAAGGCUGUAAAACUAUGAUGAAUAGCAGUGGAGAAGUACGUCUUUAACUUGAAGAACUUGAAUCAUGAUAAGCUCUUAUUGUAGAAGCUUUAUCUAGAAGGUUCUGCCCAAUAGUACAGGAGCAGCCAAACUUCAAAUCUCUGAAGAGAAAGAACGGUUUGACGUGAGACAUGGUUGUUGAAUAUACAGUGGUCAUUUCAGCUGUAAACUGGGAUACAUACAGAAAAUAUAAAGAGAAUUUGUAAAAUUAGUACUUACACUAGAUGACUUGUUUUCACUAUAGUUUUUAAUUUCAGAGCACUUUGGAUGUUGUAAAUAGACUAUCGUUAUCCUAUUUAUGAUACUAAGCACUAGAGUUUUUUUUUCAAUGAUCUAUGUUUUUGUUUAUUACAUUAAUUAAGCUUUUUUAUUACACUUUCAAUGUCAAAGUGCUGCAGUAUAGACUGGACAAGUGCAAUGGCUUACAUAAGCUGUGAUUAUCACUUUAAGAUGGAAUUGCUCCGAAAUUGCUUUAAUUUUAAUCAGUAAGAGGCAGAGUCUUCAAACUCCUGGAUUUGUGACCCUCCAGACAGUCUCCAGAGUGCUAUGAUUACAGUACCUGGAUGAACGACUCCUUACACCCCCUGAAUGGGAGGUUGGGGUUUGAACUCAGGGCUGUAGCAAACUAGGCAACUACUCACCUACUGAUGUAAACCCCUAACCCUUUGAAAAGCUAUUUUUAUAAUAAAAGUCAUAUCUUACAUAU